AACCAUGCAAGUCGAGCGGUAGAGAGAAGCUUGCUUCUCUUGAGAGCGGCGGACGGGUGAGUCAGUAUAGGAAUCUGCCUGGUAGUGGGGGAUAACGUUCGGAAACCGACUCUAAUACCGCAUACGUCCUACGGGAGAAAGCAGGGGACCUUCGGGCCUUGCGCUAUCAGAUGAGCCUAGGUCGGAUUAGCUAGUUGGUGAGGUAAUGGCUCACCAAGGCGACGAUCCGUAACUGGUCUGAGAGGAUGAUCAGUCACACUGGAACUGAGACACGGUCCAGACUCCUACGGGAGGCAGCAGUGGGGAAUAUUGGACAAUGGGCGAAAGCCUGAUCCAGCCAUGCCGCGUGUGUGAAGAAGGUCUUCGGAUUGUAAAGCACUUUAAGUUGGGAGGAAGGGCAUUAACCUAAUACGUUAGUGUUUUGACGUUACCGACAGAAUAAGCACCGGCUAACUCUGUGCCAGCAGCCGCGGUAAUACAGAGGGUGCAAGCGUUAAUCGGAAUUACUGGGCGUAAAGCGCGCGUAGGUGGUUUGUUAAGUUGGAUGUGAAAUCCCCGGGCUCAACCUGGGAACUGCAUUCAAAACUGACUGACUAGAGUAUGGUAGAGGGUGGUGGAAUUUCCUGUGUAGCGGUGAAAUGCGUAGAUAUAGGAAGGAACACCAGUGGCGAAGGCGACCACCUGGACUAAUACUGACACUGAGGUGCGAAAGCGUGGGGAGCAAACAGGAUUAGAUACCCUGGUAGUCCACGCCGUAAACGAUGUCAACUAGCCGUUGGGAGCCUUGAGCUCUUAGUGGCGCAGCUAACGCAUUAAGUUGACCGCCUGGGGAGUACGGCCGCAAGGUUAAAACUCAAAUGAAUUGACGGGGGCCCGCACAAGCGGUGGAGCAUGUGGUUUUAUUCGAAGCAACGGAAAAAACCUAACCAGGCCUUGACAUCCAAUGAACUUUUCUAGA
RNAcentral lists this ribosomal RNA (958 nucleotides) under Pseudomonas antarctica. Its description in RNAcentral is "bacterial SSU rRNA". It matches the Rfam family "Bacterial small subunit ribosomal RNA", at positions 51 to 1004 of the family's 1533-position model. The record is from RNAcentral. Lineage: Bacteria; Pseudomonadati; Pseudomonadota; Gammaproteobacteria; Pseudomonadales; Pseudomonadaceae.